RNAcentral lists this ribosomal RNA (505 nucleotides) under uncultured bacterium. Its description in RNAcentral is "bacterial SSU rRNA". It matches the Rfam family "Bacterial small subunit ribosomal RNA", at positions 28 to 524 of the family's 1533-position model. The record is from RNAcentral.
GAUGAACGCUAGCGGGAGGCAUAAUACAUGCAAGUCGAACGGGAUUUAAAGAGUAGCAAUACAAUUUAAUGAGAGUGGCGUACGGGUGCGUAACGGGUAUGCAACCUACAUUUAUCUGGGGGAUAGCCCCUCGAAAGAGGGAUUAAUACCGCAUAACAUGGUUUAAGGGCAUCCUUAGGCCAUCAAAACUUCGGUGGAUAGAUAUGGGCAUGCUUGACAUUAGGUAGUUGGUGAGGUAAUGGCUCACCAAGCCUACGAUGUCUAGGGGGUCUGAGAGGAUGUACCCCCACACUGGUACUGAGACACGGACCAGACUCCUACGGGAGGCAGCAGUAGGGAAUAUUGGUCAAUGGACGCAAGUCUGAACCAGCCAUCCCGCGUGCAGGACGACGGCCCUAUGGGUUGUAAACUGCUUUUGUACAGGAAGAAUAAGCACUACGUGUAGUGUGAUGACGGUACUGUAAGAAUAAGGAUCGGCUAACUCCGUGCCAGCAGCCGCGGUAAU